CGGUGUACGACUGCUGCGGCGAGAUCAUGUGGACGUGCGAGUCGAGGCCCGCCGCGGUGAGGAUCAACUGCUCGCCGGAGAUCGCAUCGGUGGCCGGCCCGGUGAUCAGGCCCGGCGUGACUCCGUGCAUGGUGGACGCGUUGCCCGCCUUGCCGAUACCGGCGAUCUUGCCGUCCUUGAUACCGACGUCGGCCUUCACCACGCCCAGUUCGGCGUCGAUGAUGACGACGUUGGUGAUGACGAUGUCGAGGGCGCCGGUGUCGCUCGUCGACGACGGGUCCUGGCCCAUACCGUCGCGCAG
Molecule: small RNA, 301 nt
Filed under: Gordonia sihwensis NBRC 108236
Lineage: Bacteria; Bacillati; Actinomycetota; Actinomycetes; Mycobacteriales; Gordoniaceae
Description: 5' ureB small RNA
Rfam family: 5' ureB small RNA
Source: Rfam by way of RNAcentral